CUUCGGGGUCAGCGGCGGACGGGUGAGUAACGCGUGGGAACGUGCCCUUCCCUCUGGAAUAGCCUCGGGAAACUGAGAUUAAUGCCGGAUACGCCCUUCGGGGGAAAGAUUUAUCGGGGAAGGAUCGGCCCGCGUUGGAUUAGGUAGUUGGUGGGGUAAUGGCCUACCAAGCCGACGAUCCAUAGCUGGUUUGAGAGGAUGAUCAGCCACACUGGGACUGAGACACGGCCCAGACUCCUACGGGAGGCAGCAGUGGGGAAUCUUGGACAAUGGGGGCAACCCUGAUCCAGCCAUGCCGCGUGAGCGAUGAAGGCCCUAGGG
Molecule: ribosomal RNA, 321 nt
Filed under: uncultured bacterium
Lineage: Bacteria
Description: bacterial SSU rRNA
Rfam family: Bacterial small subunit ribosomal RNA
Source: RNAcentral